AGGGAUGAUCACAUAUUGUUGGAAGCGAGGGGUAGGUACAUUACCGAUGACCCCACAAUUCGCCUAUACUUUGUUAUAAAAAAAAAAGAGAAAAUUUUGAAAAUGAGAUGAGAAAAUAUGGCUGUAUCAGCAUCAUUGAUCAUUUGAUUUGAGAUUAAAAAGAUUCAGAGAAAAGAGAAAAAGAGAAAGAGAAAGGUUUAGAAAAGACUGCAUGUUAGUCUAGAUACUUGUUUGAGUAAGAGUCCAUGUGUUCAGUAAUCAAUAUUCCCAACAUCUAACCUACACAUUUUAUAUGCAGAAAUGAGGUUAGUAGAGGGCUAUGUCAGGCGUUAUUAGUGGAGUUGUGAGAUGUAUGGUAUGUUGCUAAGCUAGAGUGUAGUACAUUGAAACAUUUCUAAGGUUAGUAUUGAUUCACUUCCACCUAUAACUUUGCAGAGAUGAUGGUAGUGUUUCUAGAGAUUGUUUGAGUCCCCGCCGUUUUAA
RNAcentral lists this long non-coding RNA (483 nucleotides) under Brassica napus (rape). Its description in RNAcentral is "long non-coding RNA (BNAP_LNC015590)". The record is from RNAcentral. Lineage: Eukaryota; Viridiplantae; Streptophyta; Magnoliopsida; Brassicales; Brassicaceae.